Molecule: transfer RNA, 74 nt
Filed under: Planctomycetota bacterium
Lineage: Bacteria; Pseudomonadati; Planctomycetota
Description: tRNA-Ser
Rfam family: tRNA
About the family: Transfer RNA (tRNA) molecules are approximately 80 nucleotides in length. Their secondary structure includes four short double-helical elements and three loops (D, anti-codon, and T loops).
Source: RNAcentral
GGCCCCAUCGUCUAACGGACAGGACACCAGGUUGCUAACUUGGUCUAGUGUGGGUUCGAAUCCCACUGGGGCUA